RNA transcript from Myotis lucifugus (little brown bat), 999 nucleotides. It is a transcript of the gene named elongation factor 1-alpha 1 pseudogene, with no coding region annotated. Lineage: Eukaryota; Metazoa; Chordata; Mammalia; Chiroptera; Vespertilionidae. The transcript is spliced from 3 exons. The record is from RefSeq and is a predicted model, not a curated record.
AUGGUGCUUCCAGUCUCAUGGGAAGUGAGAUGUGGCUCUGAAUUCAUCCCAAAGGGUGUCUUUGGGCAAAAGCACCAGAACGGCACAACUCCUGCAGGAUACCCUACACACUUCGCUGUCAGGACUCAGGGGGGCUUGAGUUUGAGUGAAGCUCUGAGUGAAGCUCUUCCUAGGGACAAUGUGGGCUUCAAUGUCAGGAAUGUGUCUGUCAAAGAUGUUCAUUGUGGCAAUGUGGCUGGUGACAGCAAAAAUGACCCACCAAUGGAAGCAGCUGGCUUCACUGCUCAGGUGAUUAUCCUGAACCACUCAGGCCAGAUCAGUGCUGGAUAUGCACCUGUGAUGGAUUGUCACACAGCUCCCAUUGCUUGCAAAUUUGCUGAGCUGAAGGAGAAGAUUGAUUACCGUUCUGGGAAAAAGCUGGCAGAUGGCCCCAAGUUUUUGAAAUCUGGUGAUGCUGCCAUCGUCGAUAUGGUUCCUGGCAAGCCCAUGUGUGUUGAGAGCUUCUCUGACUACCCUCCUCUGGGCUGUUUCACUGUUUGUGACAUGAGACAGACAGUUGCUGUGGGUGUCAUCAGAGCAGUGGACAAGAAGGCAGCUGGAGCUGACAAAGUCACUAAGUCUGCCCAGGAAGCUCAGAAGGCUAAAUGCAUAUUAUUCCCAACACCUGCCACCCCAGUCUCAAUCAGUGGUGGAAGAACGGUCUCAGAACUGUUUGUCUCAAUUGGCCAUUUAAGUUUAAUAGUAAAAGACUGGUUAAUGAUUACAAUGCAUCAUGGUUAUAAAGAAGAUGACAUUCACAUUAUGGCUGAUUCUAAUGAUUCACCUCUAGCAGAAAGGGAACCAGGAGAAAUUGUGGACAGCCUGGGAGGCAAACAAGUGGAAUAUGUCAAAGAGGAUGACUCUAGAAGGACUGGCAUGGUCAUUCAUCAAGAGGAAGCCAAACAGUCUAUUUCAUCAAGUUUAAUGAUGAUUUCCAUAUUUAUCUCUAUGAUUUGGUGA